CCAUAUCAGGUUUAAAACCGGUUCUUGUACGACCAACGAAGUUAAGCAACGUCGAGCCAGGUCAGUAUCAAGAUGAGUGACCGCUUGGGAAUACCAGAUGCUGUAAG
Molecule: non-coding RNA, 107 nt
Organism: Acanthosepion pharaonis
Lineage: Eukaryota; Metazoa; Mollusca; Cephalopoda; Sepiida; Sepiidae
Source: the annotation of a GenBank genome assembly